This is a long non-coding RNA of Gasterosteus aculeatus aculeatus (three-spined stickleback), 2168 nucleotides long. The record is from Ensembl. NCBI's taxonomy places the organism in Eukaryota, Metazoa, Chordata, Actinopteri, Perciformes, Gasterosteidae.
AGAGCUCCGAGCGGACGCAGCACGAAGCGAAGUUACGGCAGCAGAGCGACAUGAACGGGCUGAUAGAACCACGACUACCGGCUCCACUACUCUAAUCCUCAAGUGAGGAUGAGGGAGAUGCAGCUGAUUUCAGGUAUACUAUCCCAACUCAAGUGAGGCACAUCUUGUUACAGAAUCUAUAAUGAAGUUCCAAUGAUUCAGAAAAAUGGUCUACAAACACAGAAUUGUUGAACACAGAAAUGUUGUUUCUGCACUUUUAAUUCCAUAGUUAAUUUCCCUGAAAUAUAUAUUUUAUUUUUGUAUUUUUAAUUAGGAAAAGUGUUAUAUGUAUAGUGUUAUAUUUAUAAUAAAUGCAAAUUAAUAAAAUAAUGUGUUUGUCCUUGUUAAGGGCUGUUAACAUGACAACUGUGACUAAGUAUGUAACUUGUAAGUUUCCAGCGAGCAAUUUAUCCGUUGAAACAACGUUUAAAAGACGUCUAUGGCCCGACGUUGAAAAGAGGUUGCAAAUUGGUUCAAAAGUGAAAGUUGUUUCAACGUCUAUUCAUAGACGUCUAUUCAUAGACGUUGCAAAAUGGUUUAAAAGUGAAAGUUGUUUCAACGUCUAUUCGUAGACGUUGAAAAGACGUUCGCGUAUAGACCCGUUUUCAACGUGAUUUAUAAUAUCAGUGGGAAACUUACAAAUGUGGACGUAGUUUCUUUUUAAACAUCACAAUGAUAUAGCAUACAAGAGAGGACGAAAUAUUACCGUAUUAAAAAAUCACGUUGAAAUGUGGUCUAAACAUAGACGUCUUUUCAACGUCUACGAAUAGACGUUGAAACAACUUUCACUUUUAAACCAUUUUUCAACGUCUUUUCAACGUCGGGCAUAGACGUCUUUUAAACGUCUUUUCAACCAAAAAAUGCUCACUGGGGUAGCUCUGUAAACAAGAGGGCCAACACAUUGUAAGUUACUGCUGCUUAAAGCAUGAUACUGUGUAAUAUACCUGGAAAUGUUACUCCAGAAAUACCAUAAGUUGCAGAUGAAUUGUUAUCUUGUUGAUAAUGUAAUAAGUAAACCAUCUAUAAAUGAGGGUUCUAACACACCAGCUGCUGUUGUUAUUAUUAGUUUAUUACUGUCAUCAUAAAGCCAAAUGACCAACUUUGCCUUUGUGCUUUCCCACCUCACAGGUUUCUGCGGGUGGUGGUUGCAUCUGAUGGAGGUUACGUCUGAUGAUGGUUGUCCCUGCACUGGUCCUGCCUUACCCCUGGCUUAGUAAUCCACAAUAUUAGAAUCAUUUCUGUCGUAGGAAUUGGAUGUACUGUACAUCUUUAAAUUGUUCAUACUCUACACACCUACUGCCUUGCUGUUUUCCCCUCAGGUUUCUCCCGGUUGAAGGUUUUUUACAUUUUGGGGGUUUUGGGACAGGAUGUUGCAUGUUUACAGAUUGCAAAGCUGAACAAAAUAAAAUGAUUUUGUCACAGGGUGAGGUCAAGUUGGGUUUUUGUCGGCAUGUUUUGGUCUUGUCAUUUCCGUUUUAUUUUGAAAGUAGUAACCUUCCUCUCGUUUCAGGUCACUUGCCCUUCCUCAUGUCACCAGUCGAAUCGUCUCCCCUGAUUCCUGAUUGUGUCCACCUGUUUCCCAUUACCCUCAUGUGUCUUAUAGUCUGCGUCUCCCUUUGUCUUGUGCCUGAGUGUACCACCGUGCGAUCACCCAAGCCUCGCCACAGCCACAGGAUUUGUUAAUACCAAUGCCUUGUCUCGGAAUGAUUACCCCUUUAUGUUUUUUCCUCUGAGUAAGAGUGACCUUUGUUGGAGCUUCUUAGUUUUAGUUUUAGCGCGCUUUCGAAGCCGUUCGUUUUCCUCGAUUAAGAGAGAUUUUAGUUUGUUAACUUUCGUCGGAAACACUGAUAGCUCAUAGCCGUUUGUUUGUUUUUUCACGACGCGAUUAAAGACGCCAAACCCUCUGCAUCUGAGUCCUCAUUUUUAUCCGGUCCUGACAGAACACUCAGGCCAGUAUGGACUCAGCAGAGGCAGAACAGAUGGCGGCAGCCCUGGGUGCCCAAGAUGCCCGUCUUUCCCGUCAAGAGGAAUUCCAGACGUCACUGGCUUCUCACAUAAGCCUACUCUCAUCCCAAAUUCAGGGUCUGCGUGACCUUUUCGUCCAGGACACCACAGCCCCCAGGGCCCCG